Molecule: ribosomal RNA, 1581 nt
Filed under: Sundasciurus tenuis (slender squirrel)
Lineage: Eukaryota; Metazoa; Chordata; Mammalia; Rodentia; Sciuridae
Description: 16S ribosomal RNA
Rfam family: Bacterial large subunit ribosomal RNA
Source: RNAcentral
ACUAAUCCUAGCCCACANNNNNNNNNNNNNNNNNNNNNNNNNAUCUAAUCAAGUCAAAUAAAACAUUCACCCUCAUUAAAAGUAUAGGAGAUAGAAAUUUUCAACUGGAGCUAUAGAGCUAGUACCGUAAGGGAAAGAUGAAAGAAACAAUUAAUAGUAAAACAAAGCAAAGACUAAACCUUCUACCUUUUGCAUAAUGAAUUAACUAGAAAGAACUUUACAAAAAGAAUUUAAGCUAAGUACCCCGAAACCAGACGAGCUACUUAUGAGCUGCUAUCAGAGCUAAUCCAUCUAUGUUGCAAAAUAGUGGAAUGACUUAUAAGUAGAGGUGAAAAGCCUACCGAGCCUGGUGAUAGCUGGUUAUCCAGAUAAGAAUUUCAGUUCAACUUUAAAUUUACCCUAAGCACUCAUAAUCUAAAUGUAAAUUUAAUUGUUAGCCUAAAGAGGGACAGCUCUUUAGUCACAGGAAAAAACCUUUAUUAGAGAGUAAAAUAUCUAACUUCCAUAGUUGGCCUAAAAGCAGCCAUCAAUUAAAAAAGCGUUCAAGCUUAACCNNNNNNNNNNNNNNNNNNNNNNNNNNNNNNNNNNAACUCCUAAUUUAACACUGGAUUAAUCUAUAAAUACCUAUAGAAGCAAUAAUGUUAAUAUUAGUAACAAGAAAAAGAUUUCUCCCUGCAUAAGCUUAUAUCAGCUCGAAUAAAUCACUGAUAGUUAACAAACCUAUAAUCUAACUCAAAAAUCUCAAUCAUUAUAUUUACAAUGUUAACCCAACACUGGUAUGCACCUAAGGGAAAGAUUAAAAAAAGUAAAAGGAACUCGGCAAACACAAACCCCGCCUGUUUACCAAAAACAUCACCUCUAGCAUUAAUAGUAUUAGAGGCACUGCCUGCCCAGUGACAUAUGUUUAACGGCCGCGGUAUCCUGACCGUGCAAAGGUAGCAUAAUCAUUUGUUCCUUAAAUAGGGACUUGCAUGAAUGGCCAAACGAGGGUUUAUCUGUCUCUUACCUUUAAUCAGUGAAAUUGACCUUCCCGUGAAGAGGCGGGAAUAAAUAAAUAAGACGAGAAGACCCUAUGGAGCUUAAAUUUAUUAGCCCAAGUAUUACAAUAUUANAAUCUACAAGAGAUAAAAUCACUACUCAUGGACUAAAAAUUUUGGUUGGGGUGACCUCGGAGCACAACUUAACCUCCGAAUGAUUUUAAUUUAGACUUUAACCCGUCCAAAUUCUAAUUCAUAAAUUGACCCAAAUCAUUGAUCAACGGAACAAGUUACCCUAGGGAUAACAGCGCAAUCCUACUCAAGAGUCCAUAUCGACAGUUAGGGUUUACGACCUCGAUGUUGGAUCAGGACAUCCAAAUGGUGCAGCAGCUAUUAAUGGUUCGUUUGUUCAACGAUUAAAGUCCUACGUGAUCUGAGUUCAGACCGGAGAAAUCCAGGUCGGUUUCUAUCUAUUUAAACAUUUCUCCCAGUACGAAAGGACAAGAGAAAUAGGGCCUAUAUUCUAAACAUGCCCUAAGACCAAAUAGAUGAAAUAAUAUCAAUCUAAUAAACUAUUUACACACACUACCCUAGAUCAGGGCUU